UUGGAGGGCAAGUCUGGUGCCAGCAGCCGCGGUAAUCCCAGCUCCAAUAGCGUAUAUUAAAGUUGUUGCAGUUAAAAAGCUCGUAGUUGAAUUUCGGGAUUGACGUAAUGGUCGUGCCUUAAGGGGUAUGAACUGUUGCUGUUGAUUUCUCACCUUCUGGAGAAACUUGAUGUCCUUAAUUGGGUGUCUUGCGGAUCCAGGACCUUUACCUUGAAAAAAUUAGAGUGUUUAAAGCAGGCAUUUUUGCUCGAAUACAUUAGCAUGGAAUAAUAGAAUAGGACGGCAUGGUUCUAUUUUGUUGGUUUCUAGGAUCACCGUAAUGAUUAAUAGGGAUAGUUGGGGGCAUUAGUAUUCAAUUGUCAGAGGUGAAAUUCUUGGAUUUAUUGAAGACUAACUACUGCGAAAGCAUUUGCCAAGGAUGUUUUCAUUAAUCAAGAACGAAAGUUAGGGGAUCGAAGACGAUCAGAUACCGUCGUAGUCUUAACCAUAAACUAUGCCGACUAGGAAUCAGACGAUGUUAAUUUUUUAAUGACUCGUUUGGCACCUUACGGGAAACCAAAGUGUUUGGGUUC
Molecule: ribosomal RNA, 572 nt
Filed under: uncultured Glomeromycotina
Lineage: Eukaryota; Fungi; Glomeromycota
Description: SSU rRNA
Rfam family: Eukaryotic small subunit ribosomal RNA
Source: RNAcentral